RNAcentral lists this long non-coding RNA (498 nucleotides) under Erythranthe guttata (spotted monkey flower). Its description in RNAcentral is "long non-coding RNA (EGUT_LNC001561)". The record is from RNAcentral. Lineage: Eukaryota; Viridiplantae; Streptophyta; Magnoliopsida; Lamiales; Phrymaceae.
AAAAAGCCUAGACGACAUCACUCUCCGCCGCCAACCCAAUAUUAUUUAUCAAUAUAUACCAAUAUUAUAAAUACUCUUCUUUGCCUCAUUCUUUCCUUCUCUCAUCGUACUCUUGUCUCUUUUUUCUUUCACCAUUACCAAAAAACUAAUCGUAAUUAGUCGUAAAACACCAGCCCGCCGCCACCUCUAGGUGAUUUUACCACAUUUUCGAUCCAAUCGACUCUCUCGUUUUUUUAAAAGAUCUAAGCUAUCUGAUUAACGGCGAGGUGUGAUGCUCAAGCAUUUGUAUCCAUUAAUGACUUUCGACAGACUGAAAAAAAUGGUUGUAAGUAAUUUUUUCUUCUCCUUAGCUUUAAUUUCUUUUUUUUAUUCAUGAUUAAAUUCUAUGUAUUCUUUUACAUAAUCAUUUGAAAAAUAAAUAAAAAAUAGUAUAUUAAUAUUCAUCUUUCCUACAAAUAAUGUGUUUGGAUUAGGCAUAUAAGAUGGCAAUGAAACUGC